This is a long non-coding RNA of Strongylocentrotus purpuratus (purple sea urchin), 272 nucleotides long. RefSeq lists it as uncharacterized. The record is from RefSeq and is a predicted model, not a curated record. Lineage: Eukaryota; Metazoa; Echinodermata; Echinoidea; Camarodonta; Strongylocentrotidae. The transcript has 2 exons.
CGAGUGCAGUUUAAGAGAAAACCAAGCUUUCUGCGGUCGCAAUGUUUAGGAGAUGGCAGAUUCAUGUAUAUGGUGACUCAAUUGUUCGUGGUGUAAGUUUUGAUCAGGAUCAGUUUGGUGGCAAAAUAUUCUGCUAUCCGGGUGCCACUGUUAGGAAUCUUCGACAGAUAAUUAGAGCACAAACAGACUUUGACUCCACAGUGGAUGCAGUUGUAAUCCAUAUUGGAACUAACAAUCUUGGCAAUAGUGUCUGGGAAAGAACUGGAGGACAA